CAGGCCUAACACAUGCAAGUCGAGCGAGAAGCUUAUGAAGGAUCCUUCGGGUGACUGAGUAGGUGGAAAGCGGCGGACGGGUGAGUGACGCGUGGGUAACCUGCCCCAUACAAAGGGAUAGCCACUGGAAACGGUGAUUAAUACCAUAUGAGAUCGUAGAGUCGCAUGACUUAGCGGUUAAAGAUUUAUCGGUAUGGGAUUGACCCGCGUCUGAUUAGCUAGUUGGUAAGGUAACGGCUUACCAAGGCAACGAUCAGUAGCCGACCUGAGAGGGUGAUCGGCCACACUGGAACUGAGACACGGUCCAGACUCCUACGGGAGGCAGCAGUGGGGAAUAUUGCACAAUGGGCGCAAGCCUGAUGCAGCAACGCCGCGUGAGUGAUGAAGGCCUUCGGGUCGUAAAGCUCUGUCCUCAAGGAAGAAUAAAUGACGGUACUUGAGGAGGAAGCCCCGGCUAACUACGUGCCAGCAGCCGCGGUAAUACGUAGGGGGCAAGCGUUAUCCGGAAUCACUGGGCGUAAAGGGUGCGUAGGCGGUUUUUCAAGUCAGAAGUGAAAGGCUAUGGCUCAACCAUAGUAAGCUUUUGAAACUGUAAAACUUGAGUGCAGGAGAGGAAAGUGGAAUUCCUAGUGUAGAGGUGAAAUUCGUA
RNAcentral lists this ribosomal RNA (649 nucleotides) under uncultured bacterium. Its description in RNAcentral is "bacterial SSU rRNA". It matches the Rfam family "Bacterial small subunit ribosomal RNA", at positions 43 to 692 of the family's 1533-position model. The record is from RNAcentral.